GACGAACGCUGGCGGCGUGCUUAACACAUGCAAGUCGAACGGAAAGGCCUCUUUCGGGGGGUACUCGAGUGGCGAACGGGUGAGUAACACGUGAGUAACCUGCCCUUGACUUUGGGAUAACUUCAGGAAACUGGGGCUAAUACCGGAUAGGAGCUCCUGCUGCAUGGUGGGGGUUGGAAAGUUUCGGCGGUUGGGGAUGGACUCGCGGCUUAUCAGCUUGUUGGUGGGGUAGUGGCUUACCAAGGCUUUGACGGGUAGCCGGCCUGAGAGGGUGACCGGCCACAUUGGGACUGAGAUACGGCCCAGACGCCUACGGGAGGCAGCAGUGGGGAAUAUUGCACAAUGGGUGGAAGCCUGAUGCAGCAACGCCGUGUGCGGGAGGACGGGCUUCGGGUUGGAAACCGCUUUCGCUCAUGACGAAGCUUUGUGUGACGGUAGUGGGUAAAGAAGCACCGGCUAACUACGUG
Molecule: ribosomal RNA, 467 nt
Filed under: uncultured bacterium
Lineage: Bacteria
Description: partial 16S ribosomal RNA
Rfam family: Bacterial small subunit ribosomal RNA
Source: RNAcentral